This is a long non-coding RNA of Anopheles merus, 1666 nucleotides long. RefSeq lists it as uncharacterized. The record is from RefSeq and is a predicted model, not a curated record. Lineage: Eukaryota; Metazoa; Arthropoda; Insecta; Diptera; Culicidae. The transcript is spliced from 3 exons.
CGUAGCUUCUCUGCACGCUGUCAACGUCGGCUUAGUAACGCCGUCCGUCUACACGGUGAUCGUUGGUGAAUAGCGAAAAGAAAUCAUAGCAGGCAGGAAGGCAGCACGAGGUAAGGUGGGACCGAUAUGACGUCGUUCGCUCGGUAAACGCUCCGGGGCAUAGUAGGCAGCCGGUAAAUCCCCGGAGCAACUAGCGAGGAAAUCUAAUGGCGCUAAGAGGACGAACCCGUGCGCGAGCGUCGGAAAUCGGAAGCUUUCAUAAGAUUGUGAAUAUUUAUCCCGUUUUCCCGGGAACCGGUGCUCGCGCGAGCGUGUGUGUGUGUGUGUGUGCCGUGAGUGGUUGUGCUUGCCGCGAGUGACGGUGUCGUCCCUAGCGACAAGAAAACAAAACACAGCUUAGCGUAUAUCCUUUAGCAGUACGGUGCCGGGCCCGCCCGUGACACAUCGCAUCGAGCACCGAUGGUGCAGGUCCGCAGGCAAAUCGGAAACUCGAAUCGGCACACGCCUAACGACUGGCGGAGCGUCUUGUUGCCGGCGGUAAGCACGAAAUGUAAUCAAAUAAAAAGCGCGCACGUGAAUCAAAGAUGGCGCUGUUUCGGUGCUAGGCGCAGAGAAUCGACAGAGAGCCGGGAGUUGCCUAGGCAUCGUGCAACUGGGAAGGAUAUUGACGGGAAGAAUUCGUAAUGUUAUUACUAAUAAUAGUAAUAAUAAUGAUAAUAAUGAUAAUAAAAGCAAUAACCGUCCUCGUACGAGCCGUCCCGCACGUGCAAGAACCGCUUGUUGGCGCUCUCGACUAGCGACAGACUAGCGGCGGAAAGCAUCGGCAAAAAAAAAGCCUAAAGCCCUUGAAAGGCAGACUAACGAAGGACGUAAAGCGUUCGACUGGGAUCAGAGAUGAAUGGCCAAUAGAUAAAUCCGAAUUGGAUGAAAGAUGACAUCGACAAUAGAACAAGGGGGCGGAGGGCAUGGUCUCGGAAAUGUUCGAUCAAAUAAGAAGCGGGUGUGUAGAAUCUUGGAACGGAAACAUUCGGUGCUUCCAUUAUACAUAUUACCAAGCGAGGAACGCAAAUUCAUUGGAAACGACGUUUGAGUUCAACAGUCUCUACAGUAAGCAAGGAGCCAUUUACUCCCAAAAAAAAAAAACAAGAAAUUCUUGGUAACGAUGAGAGUGCAAAAAUUCGGCCACAACUGUAAUGUAUGGCCACCACUGGGUGUGUGUGUGUGUAUUGCUCCAGCAAUCGAUCGAGAAAUGAAAAUGGAUGGAUGGGAAGCUCAGCUGUAAUAGAGAUUCCAACGAAAGCAACUCACUCUGCCAGGAGUAGUGAACCGCAAGCCGGCUCAAUUGUGGAGUGCCAUCAGAGCAGCUUUCAUCCUUUUUCUUGCCGAACCGGCCAAAGCAUGUAAGGAGCUGCUGACUUCUGAACUGCCUUCUGAGGUCGAUGGGCGAGGGCGAAAGGAAAAAAAAAGGAUCGCAGCAUUCGACAAUGGCACCCCGGGUCUCCGUGUGCAUGUAACAAUGCCGACACGUUCGAGGAGAGACUUCUCCACGCCAGCCCUGCUAUGUAUGAACGGGUGGUUGGUGCACGCCCGAAAGUGUUACAUCUGUGGCGAGGGGGCCGAUGGCCCGUUCCGGACGCUACCGACGCAUCACGGCCAGAGCAGUGUG